Molecule: non-coding RNA, 2340 nt
Organism: Microcebus murinus (gray mouse lemur)
Lineage: Eukaryota; Metazoa; Chordata; Mammalia; Primates; Cheirogaleidae
Source: RefSeq, a predicted model, not a curated record
CUUGGAGGUGGUGUAGCAUCCGAAAAAAUUCUCCUGAACUGAGUGAAAGUAGAAAUUCUGAGUUUACCUCUCUACCUCUAGGAAAGAAUAGGGGACUCGGAAGUUUUGAAGUGGAAUCCCGGCUUAUCAACGCCGCUAUCUCAGGCAACUUCCCUGAGCCUCAGUGUCACCUAAAGUUGGGAACAGUAAUGCCUAUCUCACCAGUGUGUUGGGAGAGUUAAAGAUAUGGUCAAUGGAAAGCCUGACAUACUUGGCUCUGUCUGGAUUGAAAUGUGGGGCCCAGGAGGAAAUGGAAAUGGAUCUGCUAAGCACCGCUUGGAGAAACAGACGACUCUGCUGAGACCCCACCUGGAAGGCUGUGCUCAGCUCUGAGCACCUAAUUACCAGCCAGGUACAGACAAAUGGGUAUAUCUGAUGACACACAUAGCCAAGGUUAAUGGAGAAGGGCUCGUCUAAUGUACCAGAGAGCUGUUGCUGACUGCACCUGUGGACACCCGCUCUCACAGGGGCCAGACCAAACCCAGGAGCUCUGGAUUUAAAUCUGGCUCUUGCUAUGUAAGUUUUCCUCAAGUUGUAAUUUUGUGCCUCAGUUCCUCUCUGUGGGCAGCUCCACACCACACACCAGCUUUGUUUUGUAUCCGGGUCCUCGAAUGCUUUGUUCCUCUUCAGGGAUGCUGUGUGAUUUGGGGGAAGUCAGACUGGCCUGAGAGUGUGUUUCUGCAUUUUCUGCCUGGGGUGAAUCUACUGAGCAGUUAUUCCCUCCUGCUUUGGAAGGACAGGUUUCUAUCGUCUAGGAAUCUGGAACUGAGAAGCAGAGAAGAAUCAGUCUCAGCUGAUUGCAGCAGCAUUGAAGACAAAUCCCCCUGGAGCUGUGGAAAUGAGUCUCCUGCCAGAGAGGAGGAUGUGAAGAGAGCAUGACAAGGAACCCACGUGGAGAGAGACGCAGACUCAGAGAUGGAGACAGGGAGGCGAACAAACACAGGGGGCAGAGCCCCAGAUGGGGGCAGAUGCACCACCUCCCACUCUGGGUUUUUUCCUUAUGAGGUCUCAGAAUCCUCACACAGAUCCUCUUUUGGCUUGGGCUAUGCUGAGGGCAUUUCCAUUACCUGAAACUAACAUGGCCUGGCUGGAGAUGGAGACAGAGCAAUUGGGAAAAAAGCCCUCCAGCAAUGUGAGCAGAGAAUACACAUCUUGAAUAAAUGUUCGCAAUUGACCCAGUGACAAAUUUCAAGAACUGGGCCACAAGCUCUCCUGUAACCGUUCACUGGCCUGUUACCUGACGUCGGCUUUGGAAGGCGCUUCCUUAGUCUUCAAUUUCUUGAACCGUCUUCACGUUGGAGUGCGGCUGUGUAGGGGUCCUUAAACUUUUUAAACAGGGGGCCAGUUCACUGUCCCUCAGAUCGUUUGAGGGCCGUUAGAGAGCUUUUAGAGAGUGUGGCGCACAUUCCACACAUGCGCACUGUGGGCCCGAGAUGAGUUGGCUGCUAAGCAGGACAGGCGGCGGCGGAGGCAAAAACACCCCUUGGGCUGGAUAAAUAUCUUUGGCAGGCCGCAUGUGGCCCGCAGGCCGUAGUUUGAGGACUCCUGGGCUAGAGGAAGGGCAAGGCUCUGACCGCCCAGACACCUGUCAUGAGGAAUUAGAUACAAGCCCUGGAGCCCGUUUUCUCUCUUUGCAGCUGCAGUACAUGGCUGGGCUGUCCAGGGCAACGAUGGAUUUCAGGUUUCUUCCUCUGAAGGACAGGGCCCGGCUAAAGCAGCACAUCCUUCCUGGAAAUGAUGCGUUUUUAGGUUUCCCACUUAAGGUUAAACAGAAACCAGCCUUGGGACAACAAAGAAAGGAAAGCUCCCCCCUCCUUGACUUCAACCAACCAUCUAAUGCUGCAACCAGACUCCUUUCCUCUUUUGCUGUUUGGACAUGAGAACUGACCAGCUUCACAGUGCAUUCCUUCCUGAUAAAUGACCACUGACAAUGGACUGGUUCUGGCCAGCUUAUGGAGGCUCUAGAUGAAGCUCCUUCAUGUGCUCUGCUUCACUUUUUGAUGUACAGAGCCUAAUUUUACUGCACUUUAAUGUUAAGUCCCCACCCCAAAGUGAACAUAGAACCUCUGUAACAAGUAUGUUUGCGUAUCAUGAAUGUGAAUGACCCACAAUGAAUAUUUAUGAUCCUCUUGUAAUCUGUUGUAAACUAUUAAAUAUGUAUAUUUAGCCAACCCACUUAGCAUAAAACUCUUAUCCCACUCUUGCCCGGGCAAACUGCCUGCUUUUGGUCUCAGUGGCAGAUUCUACUUUCCAGUCUGCAAGUCGCAACCAAUGAUAAGAAAUAAAGUUCUCCUUUCCAAA